AAUUUCACGGGUUAGCAAUGGUCAUGGCGAUUUAAUCGAACCAACUCUUGAAACAAUGUAUGAUGAAAGUUUACUCGUGACUAUGAGUCGAUACUGCUGAUAGCAUUGAUACAAAAUUGCAUUUAUCGUAACACUACGCGGACGACGAGCGUUUAUAUAUUUAUAAUGCGAUUUUUCAUGUAUGUGUUGUCAGAUACUAUUUGAUUACACUGGUGUAUAUGUAUCAUAUGUAUUACCACGUAUGGAAUUUAAUGUUUUCCACUUGUCGUCAUUUCGUCUAACAAGGAGCAUCCAAUAGAACGAAUAAAUAGAGAAGGAGUGGACGAGAAGGAGAAAAAAUGGAAAGAAGGAUUGCACAAUUUGGCGCGUGACCGCAGCCUGGUGGAACGCGCAUUCACGUACAAGCGCAUUCACGAAUACGCGAUUUAUCUCGUAUGAGUCGCGUGGCGGCUAGAUUCUAUCUUAUAGGUGACUGUGUAAUUCACGAUAUGGUUGUCGAGUAAAAUAUCUUCGUGCCACGCGAACCUAAGUGGCUUGCGAGCUUGCUUUCGCGUAUUUGAUACAUUUUG
Molecule: unclassified non-coding RNA, 569 nt
Filed under: Bombus terrestris (buff-tailed bumblebee)
Lineage: Eukaryota; Metazoa; Arthropoda; Insecta; Hymenoptera; Apidae
Description: misc RNA ENSBTSG00005030574.1
Source: RNAcentral